CAGCCGCCGCGGGAAUACGAAGGGGGCUAGCGUUGUUCGGAAUUACUGGGCGUAAAGAGUGCGUAGGUGGUUAAUUAAGUUAUCUGUGAAAUUCCUGGGCUUAACCUGGGCAGGUCAGAUAAUACUGGUUAACUCGAGUAUGGGAGAGGGUAGUGGAAUUUCCGGUGUAGCGGUGAAAUGCGUAGAAAUCGGAAGGAACACCAGUGGCGAAGGCGGCUACCUGGCCUAAUACUGACACUGACGCUGAGGCGCGAAAGCGUGGGGAGCAAACAGGAUUAGAUACCCCGGUAGUCCCUGUCUC
Molecule: ribosomal RNA, 301 nt
Filed under: uncultured bacterium
Lineage: Bacteria
Description: partial 16S ribosomal RNA
Rfam family: Bacterial small subunit ribosomal RNA
Source: RNAcentral